UUGACACAUAUUGGGAACGGCCCCAUUAGAUAGUUGCAUCUGCACCUUGGAAAGGACAUUGGAGUUCCAGGUACAGUUUAGCAUUGCCUGAACAGCACCAUCAUUAUCAACACUACCACGUAAGAAAAGAGGCUCUCCGCCAAACAUCGUGCUAAAAGAGUAAGGAGGUAAAACCUGACUUCCUAAAGCAAAGGCAUGAGAUACGGUAAACCAAGGACUGG
Non-coding RNA from Schizosaccharomyces pombe (fission yeast), 221 nucleotides. Lineage: Eukaryota; Fungi; Ascomycota; Schizosaccharomycetes; Schizosaccharomycetales; Schizosaccharomycetaceae. The record is from the annotation of a GenBank genome assembly.